This 34-nucleotide ribosomal RNA is filed under the name Lepraria elobata. RNAcentral describes it as "partial 18S ribosomal RNA". The record is from RNAcentral. Lineage: Eukaryota; Fungi; Ascomycota; Lecanoromycetes; Lecanorales; Stereocaulaceae.
UUCCGUAGGUGAACCUGCGGAAGGAUCAUUAACA